This is a non-coding RNA of Phalacrocorax carbo (great cormorant), 176 nucleotides long. Lineage: Eukaryota; Metazoa; Chordata; Aves; Suliformes; Phalacrocoracidae. The record is from RefSeq and is a predicted model, not a curated record.
GCAGGUGCCGCCCGCAGGCUUCGGAGGGGAGACGCCGCGUGCCGACGAGAGGUCCGAGAGGUUGUGCGCCGGCUGCCUUUGGGCCUGGAUGCGCAUUUGAGGGGCCGCAGGGGAUGGCGUUCGUCCUCGUCCGGAAUGGGCACGGAGCAGCCGGGUGCACGUGAGGUGGGGGACGU